RNAcentral lists this ribosomal RNA (531 nucleotides) under uncultured Streptococcus sp. RNAcentral's name for it is "bacterial SSU rRNA". It matches the Rfam family "Bacterial small subunit ribosomal RNA", at positions 28 to 541 of the family's 1533-position model. Lineage: Bacteria; Bacillati; Bacillota; Bacilli; Lactobacillales; Streptococcaceae. The record is from RNAcentral.
GACGAACGCUGGCGGCGUGCCUAAUACAUGCAAGUAGAACGCUGAGGUUUGGUGUUUACACUAGACUGAUGAGUUGCGAACGGGUGAGUAACGCGUAGGUAACCUGCCUCAUAGCGGGGGAUAACUAUUGGAAACGAUAGCUAAUACCGCAUAAGAGUAAUUAACACAUGUUAGUUAUUUAAAAGGAGCAAUUGCUUCACUGUGAGAUGGACCUGCGUUGUAUUAGCUAGUUGGUGAGGUAAAGGCUCACCAAGGCGACGAUACAUAGCCGACCUGAGAGGGUGAUCGGCCACACUGGGACUGAGACACGGCCCAGACUCCUGCGGGAGGCAGCAGUAGGGAAUCUUCGGCAAUGGACGGAAGUCUGACCGAGCAACGCCGCGUGAGUGAAGAAGGUUUUCGGAUCGUAAAGCUCUGUUGUUAGAGAAGAACGUUGGUAGGAGUGGAAAAUCUACCAAGUGACGGUAACUAACCAGAAAGGGACGGCUAACUACGUGCCAGCAGCCGCGGUAAUACGUAGGUCCCGAGCGU